RNAcentral lists this ribosomal RNA (253 nucleotides) under uncultured bacterium. RNAcentral describes it as "partial 16S ribosomal RNA". It matches the Rfam family "Bacterial small subunit ribosomal RNA", at positions 524 to 776 of the family's 1533-position model. The record is from RNAcentral.
UACGUAGGGUGCGAGCGUUAAUCGGAAUUACUGGGCGUAAAGCGUGCGCAGGCGGUUUUGUAAGCCAGAUGUGAAAUCCCCGGGCUUAACCUGGGAAUGGCAUUUGGGACUGCAAGGCUUGAGUUUGGCAGAGGAGACUGGAAUUCCUGGUGUAGCAGUGAAAUGCUUAGAUAUCAGGAGGAACACCAAUGGCGAAGGCAGAUCUCUGGGCCGUAACUGACGCUGAGGAGCGAAAGCAUGGGGAGCGAACAGG